UUCAGGAGGAUAAGAUUCAAGAGAAGACUAAAGAAAAGAAAACUGUGUCUGAUUCUGAAAACAAAUCUAGCUGCAGUGUUCAGUAACAAGUUUACAGAUUGUUUAGCAAAGUGAUGGUUAGGUGGGGAAUCUUUCUACCCUUGUAAAUAAAAUGUGAGCAGCACUGAC
Molecule: long non-coding RNA, 168 nt
Organism: Orbicella faveolata
Lineage: Eukaryota; Metazoa; Cnidaria; Anthozoa; Scleractinia; Merulinidae
Source: RefSeq, a predicted model, not a curated record